RNAcentral lists this ribosomal RNA (682 nucleotides) under Dichosporidium boschianum. RNAcentral's name for it is "partial small subunit ribosomal RNA". It matches the Rfam family "Bacterial small subunit ribosomal RNA", at positions 434 to 1109 of the family's 1533-position model. The record is from RNAcentral. Lineage: Eukaryota; Fungi; Ascomycota; Arthoniomycetes; Arthoniales; Roccellaceae.
GUAAAAAAAAAGACAUGUAUGUAAAAUAUACAUAGAUUUUUAGUAGUUAUACUACGUAAAGUUCAAAUAAAAGAGUGAUAAUGACAAUUUUUUAUUAUAGUCUUGGCAAAUGCUCGUGCCAGCAGUCGCGGCAAUACGGGUAAGACAAGUGUUAUUCAUAUUUAAAAGGUUUAAAGGGUACCUAGACGGUAUAUUUAGCCUAUAAUAUAGGUACUAAUAUUACUAGAGUUUUAUAUAAGAGGUAUUUUUAGUACCAAUGGAGUAAAGAUAGAAUUUUAAGAUACUAUUGGGACUGGUAAUGGCAAAAGCAUGCCUCUAUGUAAAAACUGACGUUGAGGGACGAAGGCUUGGGGAGCGAUUAGGAUUAGAUACCCUAGUAGUCCAAGCAGUAAAAAAUGAAUGCCAUAGGUUAGAAUAUUUUAAUCUAUAAAUGAAAGUGUAAGCAUUCCACCUCAAGAGUAGCGUGGCAACGCCGAAACUGAAAUCAUUAGACCGUUUCUGAGAACAGUAGUGAAGUAUGUUGUUUAAUUCGAUGAUCCGCGAAAAAUCUUACCACAGCUUGAAUAUUAUAAUAAUUAUGUAAAUAUACUAUUAAUUAUUUGUAAUACAGGUGUUGCACGGCUGUCUUUAGUUAAUGUUGUGAGAUAUAGGUUAGCUCCGUUAAAUUGACAAAAACCCUUAC